UGGGGAAUUUUGCACAAUGGGGGAAACCCUGAUGCAGCGACGCCGCGUGAUUUAGAAGGCCUUCGGGUUGUAAAAAUCUUUUGUAUAGGAAGAAAAUGACAGUACUAUACGAAUAAGGACCGGCUAAUUACGUGCCAGCAGCCGCGGUAAUACGUAAGGUCCGAGCGUUGUCCGGAAUCAUUGGGCGUAAAGGGUACGUAGGCGGGUAAGCAAGUUAGAAGUGAAAUCCUAUAGCUCAACUAUAGUAAGCUUUUAAAACUGCUCAUCUUGAGGUAUGGAAGGGAAAGUGGAAUUCCUAGUGUAGCGGUGAAAUGCGCAGAUAUUAGGAGGAAUACCGGUGGCGAAGGCGACUCUCUGGUCUGUAACUGACGCUGAGGCUCGAAAGCGUGGGUAGCAAACAGG
This 402-nucleotide ribosomal RNA is filed under the name Bacteroidota bacterium. RNAcentral describes it as "Bacteroidetes bacterium partial 16S ribosomal RNA". It matches the Rfam family "Bacterial small subunit ribosomal RNA", at positions 355 to 776 of the family's 1533-position model. The record is from RNAcentral. Lineage: Bacteria; Pseudomonadati; Bacteroidota.